UACCUCAGCUACUUAAACAACCUCCGUGUUCAAGAUGUUUUCAGCUCAACGCACAGCCUCCUUCAUUAUUUUGACCGCCUGAUUCUCACUGGAGCAGAGGGCAAAAGUAAUGGGGAAGAAGGUUAUGGCCGGAGCCUAAGAUACGCCGCUCUCAACCUGGCUGCCCUGCACUGCCGCUUCGGCCACUAGUAAGUUCGUAGACUUCUGUCCAUGCAGACAGGGAGGACCAGUAUCUCAGUGUUCACUGAAACUCGUUUUUAAAGAUAAUCCACCGCCUGGAGGGGUAGUGCACCCUUUUAAUCCCAGUACUCAGGGGCAAGGCACAUGGAUUUCUGAGUUUGAGGCUAGCCUGGUCUACAUAGGGAGUUCCAGGCCAGCCAAGGAUAUGUAGUGAGACCCUGUCUCAAAGAACAAAAAAACACUCUUCCACUUGUGAUGGCACACGUCUGUAAUCCCAGCACUGGGGAGUUGGAGGGAAGAGGACAGAUGCAAGCUCAAGGCCAGUCUGGGCUACACAGAAGACUCUGUCAUAAAACAGAGUCAAAAACAAACAAUUAGGGGUUGGGGAUUUAGCUCAGUGGUAGAGCGCUUGCCUAGGAAGCGCAAGGCCCUGGGUUCGGUCCCCAGCUCCGAAAAAAAGAACCCCCCCCCCAAAAAAAAAAAA
This 664-nucleotide long non-coding RNA is filed under the name Rattus norvegicus (Norway rat). Its description in RNAcentral is "long non-coding RNA NONRATT007518". The stretch from base 564 to 632 matches the Rfam family "tRNA". The record is from RNAcentral. Lineage: Eukaryota; Metazoa; Chordata; Mammalia; Rodentia; Muridae.